This 369-nucleotide long non-coding RNA is filed under the name Manihot esculenta (cassava). Its description in RNAcentral is "long non-coding RNA (MESC_LNC012812)". Lineage: Eukaryota; Viridiplantae; Streptophyta; Magnoliopsida; Malpighiales; Euphorbiaceae. The record is from RNAcentral.
GGAUCGCUCUUCCUUCCUUUUCAAGCACAAGGUACGCUCCUUUCCUAUUCUGAAGGCAAUCUGCGCGCCAACUUCCUUCUGAAGCCUUGCAGUCCGAUUCUUUCCUCUUUUGCAACAACUUGGGCAGCAAGUUGCAUAUGGGCAGCACCUUGGGCAGCCUCUACACUAAUUAGGAAGCAAGGUCAGCAUCUAAACUUAUUUAGGAAGCACAAUCUGCGCCUCCUUUCCUUUUUGAGAGCAAACCGCGCGCACCAACUUCCUUCAGCAGUGCAUUUUCGCGCAGCCUUCCUUCUGAAGCCGAAAAGCGCGAUUCUUUCCUUUUCAGACACAUCUUGGGCAGAAAAUACCUCUUGGGCAGUAAGUAUGACC